RNAcentral lists this ribosomal RNA (343 nucleotides) under uncultured bacterium. Its description in RNAcentral is "bacterial SSU rRNA". It matches the Rfam family "Bacterial small subunit ribosomal RNA", at positions 567 to 898 of the family's 1533-position model. The record is from RNAcentral.
CCGCGGUAGGCGGGUUUGGACUAGGUCGACGGCGUGAAAGUUCCUUGGGCUCAACCCGGGGGCUGGCGACGUUGAUACAUCCAGACUCGAGUGGGGAAGAGGGUCGUGGAAUUCCCAGUGUAGAGGUGAAAUUCGUAGAUAUCGGGAAGAACACCGGUGGCGAAGGCGGCGACCUGGUCCUUUACUGACGCUGAGGCGCGAAAGCGUGGGGAGCAAACAGGAUUAGAUACCCUGGUAGUCCACGCUGUAAACGAUGUGUGCUGGAUGUUGGGCGACCUAGUCGCUCAGUGUCGUAGCUAACGCGGUAAGCACACCGCCUGGGGAGUACGGCCGCAAGGUUGAA